GAUGAAGAACGUAGCGAAAUGCGAUAAGUAAUGUGAAUUGCAGAAUUCAGUGAAUCAUCGAAUCUUUGAACGCACAUUGCGCCCCCUGGCAUUCCGGGGGGCAUGCCUGUUCGAGCGUCAUUACAACCCUCAAGCUCUGCUUGGUAUUGGGCUCUGCUGGGACCGGCAGGCCUUAAAAUCAGUGGCGGCGCCACUCGGCUUCAAGCGUAGUAAUUCUUCUCGCUUCGGAGACCCGGGUGCGUGCUAGCCAGCAACCCCCAACUUUCUUAGGUUGACCUCGGAUCAGGUAGGGAUACCCGCUGAACUUAAGCAUAUCAAUAAGCCGGAGGA
This 330-nucleotide unclassified non-coding RNA is filed under the name soil metagenome. RNAcentral's name for it is "partial contains 5.8S ribosomal RNA, internal transcribed spacer 2, and large subunit ribosomal RNA". The stretch from base 1 to 120 matches the Rfam family "5.8S ribosomal RNA", at positions 35 to 154 of the family's 154-position model. The record is from RNAcentral.